This 1100-nucleotide long non-coding RNA is filed under the name Rattus norvegicus (Norway rat). Its description in RNAcentral is "long non-coding RNA NONRATT015415". The record is from RNAcentral. Lineage: Eukaryota; Metazoa; Chordata; Mammalia; Rodentia; Muridae.
UACCAGGCACAUAACUCAAUUUAAGAGAGUCCUAUGUCGGGGUUGGGGAUUUAGCCCAGUGGUAGAGCACUUGCCUAGCAACCUCAAGGCCCUGGGUUCGGUCCCCAGCUCCGGAAAAAAAAAGAAAAAGAAAGAGAGAGAGAGUCCUAUGUCUGCUUGUUCCAAAAUGGUUCUAGACAUGCAUAUGCAUGCUUAGUUUUUCUCCUUGUUCCCAUAAGUUUACAUGAAAGGAGACAUGGUAUCCUUGUAAGCUGAGCAAUGGUGCCUUUAAUCCCAGUGCUCAGGAGACAAAGAAGGCGGGGGACUCUCUGAGUUUAAGGUCAGCCUGCUACACAAAGAAGUUCCAGAGCAGUGAAGACUAUACAGGAACACUGUCUCAAAGGACCAAGAAGAAAAAGAAAAGGAAAACUGCUAUCCUGAGCUGGGUGUAGUGCCUUAGGCCUUUAAUUCCAACACAGGUACAGGCAGAUGACAGGAACACUGAGCCUAUUGUAUAUAGAUGUACAUAGUGAGCUCCAGGACUGCCAAGACUAACUACAUAUCGAGAUUCUGUCUCAAAUAAAAAAUACGAGGGGGGGAAACCUGCUUGGUACUAGUGUAUAAUAUGAUCUUAGCACUUGGGAGGUAGAGUCAACAGGGUGGGAAGUUGGAAGCCAAAUUGGAUUAAAUGGGACUGUCCCAAAAGAAAAGUUUAACAUUUAUUAUUGGGUUAUGUUUAUAAUUUGUACUGUCUGGAAUUCAAAGCUGUACUUAAAUCCACAAUCCUACCUCGGCCUCCUAUGCUAGAAUCAUAGAUAUAUACCCCAAGUUUUUCUCAGAUUCUUGCUUGACUUUGGAAUCUUUUCGUAUAGUCUUUUUUUUUUUUUUAUUACACUUUCUAUGAUGUGCAGAGGGUACAUUGCAUGUGCAUAUGUAGAAGUUAGAUGACUGCUUUCUGAAGUGUUCUCUCCUGACUUUUUUAGUUCUGGGUUGUAUUAGUUAGGGUUUUAUUGCUGUGAAGAGACACCAUGACCAAGAUAACUUUUAUAAAGGACAACGCUUAGUUGGGAGUGGCUUGAAAUUUCAGAAGUUCAGUCCAUUAUCAUCAUGGUGGGAAGAAU